GUCGAGCGGUAACAUUUCUAGCUUGCUAGAAGAUGACGAGCGGCGGACGGGUGAGUAAUGCUUGGGAAUAUGCCUUAUGGUGGGGGACAACAGUUGGAAACGACUGCUAAUACCGCAUAAUGUCUACGGACCAAAGGGGGGGAUCUUCGGACCUCUCGCCAUUUGAUUAGCCCAAGUGAGAUUAGCUAGUUGGUGAGGUAAUGGCUCACCAAGGCGACGAUCGGUAGCUGGUCUGAGAGGAUGAUCAGCCACACUGGGACUGAGACACGGCCCAGACUCCUACGGGAGGCAGCAGUGGGGAAUAUUGGACAAUGGGCGAAAGCCUGAUCCAGCAAUGCCGCGUGAGUGAUGAAGGUCUUCGGAUUGUAAAGCUCUUUCGACGGGGAAGAUAAUGACGGUACCCGUAGAAGAAGCCCCGGCUAACUUCGUGCCAGCAGCCGCGGUAAUACGAAGGGGGCUAGCGUUGUUCGGAUUUACUGGGCGUAAAGCGUGCGUAGGCGGCUUGUCAAGUCAGAAGUGAAAGCCCGGGGCUCAACUCCGGAACUGCUUUUGAGACUGGCAGGCUUGAGUUCGGGAGAGGGUAGUGGAAUUCCCAGUGUAGAGGUGAAAUUCGUAGAUAUUG
RNAcentral lists this ribosomal RNA (622 nucleotides) under uncultured bacterium. Its description in RNAcentral is "bacterial SSU rRNA". It matches the Rfam family "Bacterial small subunit ribosomal RNA", at positions 61 to 699 of the family's 1533-position model. The record is from RNAcentral.